This 292-nucleotide ribosomal RNA is filed under the name uncultured bacterium. RNAcentral describes it as "partial 16S ribosomal RNA". It matches the Rfam family "Bacterial small subunit ribosomal RNA", at positions 505 to 796 of the family's 1533-position model. The record is from RNAcentral.
GUGCCAGCCGCCGCGGUAAAACGUAGGUGGCGAGCGUUAUCCGGAUUUACUGGGCGUAAAGCGUGUGCAGGCGGGGGUCCAAGUGGUGUAUGAAAUCGCCCGGCUUAACCGGGCGGGGUUAUGCCAGACUGGACUUCUGGAGUGCGAGAGAGGGGCGUGGAAUUCCGGGUGUAGUGGUGAAAUGCGUAGAGAUCCGGAGGAACCCCAGAGGCGAAGGCGGCGCCCUGGCUCGCAACUGACGCUCAGACACGACAGCAUGGGGAGCGAACGGGAUUAGAAACCCCGGUAGUCC